This 606-nucleotide unclassified non-coding RNA is filed under the name Hevea brasiliensis (rubber tree). Lineage: Eukaryota; Viridiplantae; Streptophyta; Magnoliopsida; Malpighiales; Euphorbiaceae. The record is from RNAcentral.
AGAAAACAGACUUAACUAAUUAAAAAUUACUAAAUUUAUUAUUAGAACAUAGAAAGUCUUGUUUUCAAAGAGGGAGGUAGCAAGCCCAUGAUUCCUUAUUCCUGAAAUUGGUUCCUGGUUUUUUGCUGUCUUCUCUGCAAUAAGAAGAUGAGGUGCCUAAACAUGACUAGAGUAUGUUCUUUUAUUAAUUCCAUUCCUCCCUCUUCUAUAUUUGCAUUUUAUUCUUGUUUCUAAGCUCUUCUAUUAUUAAUUUAGUAUCUUUUACUUGUUUUCAAGCUUAACUAGCAUGGUGAUCAACUCUUACAUCUGAUUUUGUUAACUGGUAUCAGUGAAAUUGUACUUUUUUGAUUCAUUGACUGGUUUUUUAUUUAUUUUUUAUUCGGUGAUCUUUCUAUUGCUGAAAUGGUUGUGGAAGAAAAUUAGAUAAAUGUAUAAUUUUCAUUGUUUAGCUUAAAGAAAAUAAAGGAAAAGAAAGGUUUAAUGAUCCAUUUUAAUCAGUUGUUGAGACAAACUGGGGUUUUACUCUCAUUAGUUUACCCAGUAGAUUAAAAAAUUAGUGAUGAUAAUUCAGAGAUUUUUUUUAAUUUAAUUUUUUUUUAUUUUAUU